CUGCCAGUCAGGCUCCUGGCAGGAGUCCUGCUCUCAGCUGGUUCCAGGCUCUAGCCAGGGGCUUGACUGCAAG
Molecule: non-coding RNA, 73 nt
Organism: Mus musculus (house mouse)
Lineage: Eukaryota; Metazoa; Chordata; Mammalia; Rodentia; Muridae
Source: Rfam